RNAcentral lists this ribosomal RNA (494 nucleotides) under uncultured soil bacterium. RNAcentral describes it as "bacterial SSU rRNA". It matches the Rfam family "Bacterial small subunit ribosomal RNA", at positions 26 to 524 of the family's 1533-position model. The record is from RNAcentral.
AGGACGAACGCUGGCGGCGUGCUUAACACAUGCAAGUCGAACGGUGAUAUCAGGGCUUGCUCUGGUUGAUCAGUGGCGAACGGGUGAGUAACACGUGAGUAACCUGCCCCUGACUCUGGGAUAACUUCGGGAAAUCGGAGCUAAUACCGGAUACGAGACGCAUCCGCAUGGGUAGCGUCUGGAAAGAUUUAUUGGUCUGGGAUGGACUCGCGGCCUAUCAGCUUGUUGGUGAGGUAAUGGCUCACCAAGGCGACGACGGGUAGCCGGCCUGAGAGGGCGACGGCCAACGACUGGGACUGAGAUACGGCCCAGACUCCUACGGGAGGCAGCAGUGGGGAAUAUUGCACAAUGGGCGAAAGCCUGAUGCAGCGACGCGCGUGAGGAUGAAGCCUUGGGUUGAAACCUCUUUCAGCGAGGAAGAGCGCAAGGUGACGUAACCGUGACCGAGAAGAAGCGACCGGACAACGUACGUAGCCCAGCGAGCCGACGGUAAC